ACAGCAGCCGCCGCGGGAAUACGAAGGGUGCAAGCGUUAAUCGGAAUUACUGGGCGUAAAGCGUGCGUAGGCGGUGAGUUAAGUCUGCUGUGAAAUCCCCGGGCUCAACCUGGGAAUGGCAGUGGAUACUGGCUCGCUAGAGUGUGUCAGAGGAUGGUGGAAUUCCCGGUGUAGCGGUGAAAUGCGUAGAGAUCGGGAGGAACAUCAGUGGCGAAGGCGGCCAUCUGGGACAACACUGACGCUGAGGCACGAAAGCGUGGGGAGCAAACAGGAUUAGAUACCCCCGUAGUCCCUGUCUCUUAUAA
Molecule: ribosomal RNA, 305 nt
Filed under: uncultured bacterium
Lineage: Bacteria
Description: partial 16S ribosomal RNA
Rfam family: Bacterial small subunit ribosomal RNA
Source: RNAcentral